RNAcentral lists this non-coding RNA (29 nucleotides) under Rattus norvegicus (Norway rat). Lineage: Eukaryota; Metazoa; Chordata; Mammalia; Rodentia; Muridae. The record is from RNAcentral.
UGAAAUGGUAGACAAAGACACAGAUCUCC